RNAcentral lists this ribosomal RNA (440 nucleotides) under uncultured bacterium. RNAcentral's name for it is "partial 16S ribosomal RNA". It matches the Rfam family "Bacterial small subunit ribosomal RNA", at positions 338 to 795 of the family's 1533-position model. The record is from RNAcentral.
CCUACGGGAGGCUGCAGUGGGGAAUAUUGCACAAUGGGGGGAACCCUGAUGCAGCGACGCCGCGUGAGUGAAGAAGUAUUUCGGUAUGUAAAGCUCUAUCAGCAGGGAAGAAAAUGCCGGUACCUGACUAAGAAGCCCCGGCUAACUACGUGCCAGCAGCCGCGGUAAUACGUAGGGGGAACGCGUUAUCCGGAUUUACUGGGCGUAAAGGGAGCGUAGACGGCUGUGCAAGCCAGAUGUGAAAGCCGGGGGCUCAACCCCGGGAGUGCAUUUGGAACUGUGUGGCUGGAGUGUCGGAGAGGCAGGCGGAAGUCCUAGUGUAGCGGUGAAAUGCGUAGAUAUUAGGAGGAACACCAGUGGCGAAGGCGGCCUGCUGGACGAUGACUGACGUUGAGGCUCGAAAGCGUGGGGAGCAAACAGGAUUAGAUACCCUUGUAGUC